UAACUUAAGGAGAGCAGUUACUGGAACUAGGUUUAUCUGAGAUGUCUUUGUUGUCACCAUUAACAUCACAUGGCUCUUGUAAUAGACUGAAUGUUUACUUAGUUUUUGCAUAAUUUGUUAGUGGGCAACACAGGACCAGCCAAAGUUGUGUCAAGAGGAUUAUAAUAGAUAUCAAAAUCCUUGAGGGUAUUUGUUCAAUGCCGAUGUUCUAUAAAAUAGAUUUUUAAAUUUUUCUCGCUUUUAUCAGCAUUAGUAUAACUGACAUGAAAGGCUAAUUGGACUUUAUGUAGUUUAGGAAAGCCUCAUGCAUUCAGCCACUAUUAAAUUUUAAAUAACUCCAUUCUGGAUACAUCUAAUGGAUGAAAAGGAACAUGAAAGGAUUUGAAUUGUGAGUCCAUUCCUUGAGUAUUUAUGUGGAGAUUUAAAAAAAAAAAAAAACCCGGUUAUUGAUGAGAAAGUACUUUCUAACUGAAAUUUAUUAAAAUUUCAAAAGGUAAAAUCCUAUAUUUAUGUCCUCUGCCUACAUAUGAAGAUGAACUAUACAUUUGUAGCAGGAGAAGAAAGUCCACAGGAUCCUUCAUCUUUUAUUCUUGCUGAGGCCAUUUCAGGUUUGACUAGAAUUUGAUUUUCUUGAUAGAGAAUUUUGUGGAAAAUUGCACAACUCUAUUCUAGAAACUGGAGAUCAACUUGGCUAUGAUAAUUCAUCCUGGCUUUAGUUAAAUGACCUGUGUAUUUAAACCUCCCCCUCUGGUUAUCUGCUUAUCUUGGCUUCUGUUAAACUGCCUGUUCAGAUAAAAGCUGAAUAAGUAUUAAAUACUUCAAUGUACUCAGAGCUGGCUGGAAUAAAGACCAGCAAUUGGUUAUACACUGUGUUUAAGUGGUCUUCUCUUGUGGGCUUCCUCUAACACAUUAACAAAAAUAUCCAAUUUUAAGUCAUCUAUAAAAAGACAUGUGUGAAAUUUUUCAUCCAUAUGAAAAACUUGGAAUAGUCAACAGCAUACUUCUAGAUCCUCACCUAGAUUCAAAAUUGUUAACAAUGUACAGUGUUGCUCCUACUUUUCUGUGUAUAUAUUUAGUCAUUUGGGGCUGUAUCAUUAAGAAUAUGUUUUAGAACUGAGUGUGGUAGUGCAUCCCUGAGUUCUAGUAAAGGGGAGGCGAAAGGAUCAAGAGUUGGGGUCAAGCCUAGCUAUACAGUGACUUCAAGUUCAACUUUUGCUUUAUAGAGAUCCUUUGUUUAAGAGAAAAAUGUAGAUAUGACAUUUUAUCCCUUACUACAUUAGCCAAGAUGGAAUGUCAUCUGUACCGUAAUUGUCCUUAAGGAAAUGAUCCAGAAUUUUAUGACUGUU
This 1346-nucleotide long non-coding RNA is filed under the name Mus musculus (house mouse). Its description in RNAcentral is "long non-coding RNA chr7:27822051-27823397". The record is from RNAcentral. Lineage: Eukaryota; Metazoa; Chordata; Mammalia; Rodentia; Muridae.